RNAcentral lists this ribosomal RNA (608 nucleotides) under Staphylococcus aureus. RNAcentral describes it as "partial 23S ribosomal RNA". It matches the Rfam family "Bacterial large subunit ribosomal RNA", at positions 950 to 1559 of the family's 2925-position model. The record is from RNAcentral. Lineage: Bacteria; Bacillati; Bacillota; Bacilli; Caryophanales; Staphylococcaceae.
CAAACUCCGAAUGCCAAUUAAUUUAACUUGGGAGUCAGAACAUGGGUGAUAAGGUCCGUGUUCGAAAGGGAAACAGCCCAGACCACCAGCUAAGGUCCCAAAAUAUAUGUUAAGUGGAAAAGGAUGUGGCGUUGCCCAGACAACUAGGAUGUUGGCUUAGAAGCAGCCAUCAUUUAAAGAGUGCGUAAUAGCUCACUAGUCGAGUGACACUGCGCCGAAAAUGUACCGGGGCUAAACAUAUUACCGAAGCUGUGGAUUGUCCUUUGGACAAUGGUAGGAGAGCGUUCUAAGGGCGUUGAAGCAUGAUCGUAAGGACAUGUGGAGCGCUUAGAAGUGAGAAUGCCGGUGUGAGUAGCGAAAGACGGGUGAGAAUCCCGUCCACCGAUUGACUAAGGUUUCCAGAGGAAGGCUCGUCCGCUCUGGGUUAGUCGGGUCCUAAGCUGAGGCCGACAGGCGUAGGCGAUGGAUAACAGGUUGAUAUUCCUGUACCACCUAUAAUCGUUUUAAUCGAUGGGGGGACGCAGUAGGAUAGGCGAAGCGUGCGAUUGGAUUGCACGUCUAAGCAGUAAGGCUGAGUAUUAGGCAAAUCCGGUACUCGUUAAGGCUGA